GGCUCAGAACGAACGCUGGCGGCAGGCUUAACACAUGCAAGUCGAGCGGAAACGAUGGGAGCUUGCUCCCAGGCGUCGAGCGGCGGACGGGUGAGUAACGCGUAGGAAUCUACCCAGUAGAGGGGGAUAGCCCGGGGAAACCCGGAUUAAUACCGCAUACGCCCUAAGGGGGAAAGGCCGGGAUCUUCGGACCGGUCACUAUUGGAUGAGCCUGCGUAAGAUUAGCUAGUUGGUAGGGUAAAGGCCUACCAAGGCGACGAUCUUUAGCUGGUCUGAGAGGA
This 281-nucleotide ribosomal RNA is filed under the name uncultured Florenciella. Its description in RNAcentral is "partial Bacterial small subunit ribosomal RNA". It matches the Rfam family "Bacterial small subunit ribosomal RNA", at positions 21 to 300 of the family's 1533-position model. Lineage: Eukaryota; Dictyochophyceae; Florenciellales. The record is from RNAcentral.